UCUCUGGUAGUAUAUCGGAUAGUACACCCGCCUGUCAAGUUCUCCACUCGGAAAAAGCCAAAACGCGGGAGAGCGGGGUUCGACUCCCCGCCAGAGAG
Non-coding RNA from Gloeophyllum trabeum ATCC 11539, 98 nucleotides. Lineage: Eukaryota; Fungi; Basidiomycota; Agaricomycetes; Gloeophyllales; Gloeophyllaceae. The record is from the annotation of a RefSeq genome assembly.